This is a long non-coding RNA of Priapulus caudatus, 1090 nucleotides long. RefSeq lists it as uncharacterized. The transcript is spliced from 3 exons. The record is from RefSeq and is a predicted model, not a curated record. NCBI's taxonomy places the organism in Eukaryota, Metazoa, Priapulida, Priapulimorpha, Priapulimorphida, Priapulidae.
GUGUAUUGUUAGCGAGCUUUCAACAAUACACUGUGUAUUGUUGAAUACUUUCUAACAAUACACUGUGUAUUGUAGAAUUAGGCUCAUAUUUAUCGCUAAAAAUGGCGGUUCAAUGCCGCCACUUCGUUCACUUAAUGGCUUACAGGCUGUAUUUUCUCUAAGAAGAAGAAUUUUUAGUAACUAUCUACAUAUUAGAUGUGUUAUCAAUGUUACAAUUUCUGGUUUUGAUGGUCAAGCAUUUCUUAUUUUGGUGGCCAACGGCUGCGAUCUGUAUAUAUUGGACUACAUCGUGGCUUACGUUGGCGAUAGCUGAAAUUACUUGUUGUUUGUGUACUGUACAUAUUAUAUAAACUUCUCUUCACUUAGUUAAUUCACUUAAAAUGAAUAAAUGCAACGACUAUGUGUAUUGUUGUAGAACCUAACAAAAGACUAUUCCCUGAAAUAGUUUUUCUUAUUGACUUUGUCUUUGGUGCCAGUGGCACUGGUGCGAUAGAUAUCAUGUAAAAAUAUUUCGCAUUUGUUAAAAUUGUUUUAUCCGGAUGUUUAGGACCAAAAUAUUUUUAAUUAACGAUCUCGUCUUUGUUAUAGUAUCUAUAUAGCGUUACUUUAAGAAAUAUAGCGAUAUUACUUUAAUUAAACUUGAAAUUCAAAAAAGACCCAGGCAAUGCACAAAAGACUCGUUAGAUGGCAGUGGAAUUGGAGUCAAAAACCCGCAUGCAGUGAUCUGUACACAAAUCACUAUGCCAAAACAGUUCAUUCUGGCUACCAGGCAGCUAGACAGCGAAGGAUGGGAGCUUGGGCUGACCUCCGCCCAUCUCUGUUGUCAGCGUACAAGAGGGUGACUCGUGGGAAGCAAUGCAUCAUUUGUGGGGCUGAAGAUCCCCCAAUAAGAUGCACAGAUUGCAGCUAUUCGAGCAACUAUACUGCACUGGUUGCUUUGAAACGGCCCACUUGCAUCUAACGCUGCUUGUUGCAUGCUUAUUACUGGAAGAAUGGAAUGUUCACGCGAUAUGACACCAACAGGGUGGAAGUGUGGAAUUGAGAUGUGGACCACACCUGCACAUCAGGCUACCCCUAGGGUUGUUAAAGU